UUACAAUACAUACAAGAUAUGAUUUCUUAAGCAGGGUGGGUAUCAAGGUGUUCAUCUGCGAAAUUCUUGCCUUGUUCACAAAGACAAUGCUGAAGGCGAAGGAAGCAGCGCUGAAAGGCAUCCACACACUGCGCCUCUGAAGGCAACCCAAUAUCCCUGGAAGAGCGCCCUCCGGGAGAAACGAGCUCGACCACUAUGCCAUCAUCAAGCCCCCCUGACCUGGGUCAGCCAUGAAGAAGACAGAAGACAACGACAUACUUGUGUUCAUUGUGGAGGCCAAGGCCAACAAGCACCAGAUCAAACAGGCUGUGAAGAAGCUCUGUGACACCUACAUGGCCCAAGGUCAACUCCCUGAUCAGGCCUGAUGGACAGAAGAAGGCCUGUGUCCGACUGGCUACUGACUAUGAUGCUUUAGAGGUUGCCAACAAAAUUAGGAUCAUCUAACCUGAGUCCAGCUGAUUAAUUCUAAAUAUAAAAUUUUUUCACCAUAAAAAAUUCUUAUAAUACACCCAUUCCUUCAGAGUAAUGAAAGAAAUAAUUCUUCUCUUGACCUCAAGUCCCUUCUCAAGUGCAUUCUCCCACUCACAGAAACAGUGAUCUUAAAAACAUAAAUCUGCACUUACUUGUCCCCUGGUCGGAAUCCUUCCAGUGGCCUUCCAACAUAUUCAGAAAAAAAAAAAAAAGGUAAGCAUCUCAUCAUGGACUACCGGGCACUACCUGAUCUGCUCUGGGCUGUCUCCCCACCUCACUUCCUGCCACUCUUCUCCGGAUGCAGCACACUCCUUCCCUGCUGUUCUUUGAAUGCAUGGGCCAAAUGCACCCUACCCCGUUUUUGGUUGUCGUUAAUUUUUUUUUCCUUAACUUUUUGAGAUAAUUAUAGAUUCACAGGUAGUUAGAAAUAAUACAGAAAUCCCGUUAUGUUCCUCACCCAGUUUCCCCUAAUGGCAACAUCUUGCAUAACACAGUCACAAUAUCACAACCAGGGAACUGAUACUGAUAAGUCUACUCACCUUAUUCAGAUUUUGACAGUUUUACAUACACUCACUUAUGUGUGUGUGUUUAGUUCUACGUAAUUUUUUUUUUUUUUCGGUAUGCGGGCCUCUCGCUGCUGUAGCCUCUCCCGUUGUGGAGCACAGGCUCCGGACGCGCAGGCUCAGUGGCCAUGGCUCACGGGCCCAGCCGCUCCGCGGCAUGUGGGAUCUUCCCGGACCGGGGCACGAACCCGUGUCCCCUGCAUCGGCAGGCGGACUCUCAACCACUGCGCCACCAGGGAAGCCCAGUUCUACGUAAUUUCAUCACUUGUGUAAGUUCUUAUGACCACCAUCCCGGUCAAGAUACAAAAUAUCAGUAGCUCUAUCAGAAGGAUACCUCCGAGGAGGAGGAGAAGGCAGAGGAGGAGGAGGAGGGUCCCUCGUGCUUCUUUUUAUAGCCGGUCAUCUCUGGCCCCGAGUCCCAACCGGUGGCAACCCUUAAUCUGUCCUCCAUCUCUAUAAUUUUGCCAUUUAAAAAUGUAUAUAUAAAGAAAAACAAAAGAAAAAAAUGUAUAUAAAUGGGACCUAUUUUAGUUUGGGCUGCCAUAACAGAGUAGUAUAGACCGGGUGACUUAAACCACAUUUAUUGCUCACAGUUCUGAAGGCUGGAAGUCCAGGAUCAAGGUGCUAGCAUGGUUGGGUUCUAGUUAAGGUCCUUUUCCUGGUUUUCAGACAGGCAUCUUCUCACUGUGUCCUCACACAGCAGAGGAAGACUGAGUUAGUUCUCUGGCUUCUUAUUUAUUUAUUUAUUUAUUUUUGGCUGCGUUGGGUCUUCGUUUCUGCGCGCGGGCUUUCUCUAGUUGCGGUGAGCAGGGGCUACCCUUCAUUGCGGUGCGUGGGCUUCUCAUUGCGGUGGCUUCUCUUGUUGCAGAGCACGGGCUCUAGGUGCGUAGGCUUCAGUAGUUGUGGUGCACGGGCUUAGUUGCUCCGCGGCAUAUGGGAUCCUCCCGGACCAGGGCUCGAACUCAUGUCCCCUGCACUGGCAGGCAGAUUCUUAACCACUGUGUAACCAGGGAAGUCUGUCUGGCUUCUUUUUUUUUUUUGCGGUAUGCAGGCCUCUCACUGCUGUGGCUUCUCCCGUUGCGGAGCACAGGCUCCAGACGCUCAGGCUCAGCGGCCAUGGCUCACGGGCCCAGUCACUCCGUGGCAUGCAGGAUCUUCCCGGACCGGGGCACGAACCCGUGUCCCCUGCAUCGGCAGGCGGACUCUGAACCACUGCGCCACCAGGGAAGCCCUGGUUUCUUUUAUAAAGACACUCAUCCCAUCCAUAAAGGCUCCAUCCUCAUGACCUAAUUACCUACCAAAGUCCCCAUCUUCAAAUACCAUCACAUUUGGGAUUAGAUUUCAACUUAAUGAAUUUUGAGGGAACACAAACAUACAGUCCAUAACAAGAUCACAUAACAUGUAACCUUUUGAGGUUGCUUCUUUUCACUUAGCAUAAUUUCCUUGAGACCCAUCCAAGUUGUUGUAUGUAUCAGUAGUUUGUUCCUUUUUAUUGCUGAGUAGUAUUCUAUGGUAGGAAUGUACCAUAGUUUGUUAACCUUUCAUCAACCUAAGGACAAUUAGGUUGUUUCUAGAUUUUGGCUCUGACAAAUAAAGCUGCUAUAAACCUUCAAGUACAGGUUUUUUAUGAUUACGUUUUUAUUUCUCUGGGAUAAAUGCCCAAGACUGCAAUUGCUGGGUGAUAUGGUAAGUGCAUGUUUAGUUUUGUAAGAAACUGUCAUAUUCUAUACCAGAGUCGUUGCACCAUUUUAUACUUUCACCAGUAAUAUAUGAAGGAUCCAGCUCUUCUGCAUGCUUGCCAGAAAAUGGGGUUAUUAUUUUUCAUUUUAGCCAUUCUGAAAGGCACGUGGUUGUACCUACUGUGGCCUUAAUUUACAUUUCCCUAGUGGCUAACGAUGUUGAGCAUCCUUUCAUGUGCUUGUCCUCUGUAUAAUUUCUUCAUUGAAAUGUCUGCUCAAUGUCUUUUGCCCAUUUUAUUAACUGUUGAUUUUUUUUAAUAACAGCUUUAUUGAGAUGUAACUCACAUAUUAUACAAUUCACCAUUUAAAGUGUACGAUUCAGUGGUUUUUAGUAUAUUCACAGGGUUGUGCAACAACCACCAUCACAAUUAACUGUAGAACACUUUCAUCACGCCCAAAAGAAAAUCCUCACCCGUUAGCAGUCACUCUCCGAUUUCCCCCAAACUCCCAGGCUUGGGCAACCACUAGUCUACUCUUUAUCUUCAUAGAUUUGCCUACUCUAGACAUGUCAUAUAAAUGAAAUCAAAUAAUAUGUGGUCUUUUGUGACUGGCUUCUUCUACUUAGUACAAUAUAAUGUUUUCAAGAUUCAUCCAUGUUGUAGCAUGUAUCGGUACUUUAUCUCUUUUUAUUGUUAAAUAAUAUUCCAUUUUAGGGAGUUCCCUGGUAGUCCAGUGGUCAGGACUCUGCGCUUCCACUGCCGACGGCUGGAGUUUGUUCCCUGGUUGGUGAACUAAGAUCCCGCAAGCCAUGCGGUACAGCCAAAAAAAAAAUUCCAUUUUAUUGGACAUACCACAUUUCAUUUAUCCGAGCAUCAGUGGAUAGACAUUUGGGUUGUUUCCACUAUUAUGAAUAAUGCUGCUAUGAGCACUCAAGUCAAGUUUUUGUGUGGACAUAUGUUUUCAUUUCUCUUGGGUACACCUAGGAGUGGAAUUUCUGGGUUGUAGGGUAACUCUAUGUUUAGCUUUUUGAGAAACUGCCAUCUGUACCAUUUUACAUUCCUACCAGCACUGUAUCAGGGUUUCGAUUUCUCCACACCCUCGCCAAAGCAUUCCAGUAUCUGUAUUUUCAAUUAUAGACAACCUAGUGAGUGUGAGGUAAUAUUUCAUUGUGAUUUCCGAUGUGCAUUUCUCUAAUGGCUAAUGGUACUGGGCAUCAUUUCAUGUGCUUAUUGGCCAUUUUUAUAUCUUCUUCUGAGAAAUGUCUACACAGAUCCUUUGCCCAUUUAAAAAAUUGGGUUAUUUGUCUUUUUAUUAUUGAAUUGUAAUAGUCUUUAUAUAUUCUAGAUACAAGUCCCUUAUCAUAUACAUGAUUUGCCAAAAUUAUCUCCCAUUCCGUGCCUUUUCAUUUUUUUUUUAAUUAAUUAACUUAUUUACUUAUCUUUGGCUGCGCUGGGUCUUCGUUGCUGCGCGCAGGCUUUCUCUGGUUUCGGAGAGCAGGGGCUACUCUUCGUUGUGGUGCACGGGCUUCUCAUUGCGGUGGCUUCUCUUGUUGUGGAGCAUGGUCUCUAGAGCGCAGGCUCAGUAGUUGUGGUGCACGGGCUUAGUUGCUCUGCGGCAUGUGGGAACUUCCUGGACCAGGAAUUGAACCCAUGUCCCCUGCAUUGGCACGCAGAUUCCCAACCACUGCGCCACCAGGGAAGCCCCUCUUUUCACUUUCUUGAUGGUGUCCUUUGACGUCCAAAAGUUUUUAACCUUGAUUAUGUCCAACAUAUCUAUUUUUUUCAUUUGUUACUCAUACUUUUGGUGUCAUAUCUAAGAAACUGUUGCCUAAUCCAAGACCAUAAAUGUUUAUAUCUGUGUGUUCUUCUAAGAGUUCUAUGGUUUUAGCUCUUAAACUUAGGUCUUUGAUCCAUUUUGAGUUCCUUUUUGUAUAUGGUAUGAGGUAAGGGUCUAAUUUCACUCUUCUGCAGGUGGCUAUCCAGUUGACCCUGUAACAUUUGUUGAAAACACUAUUCUCCCCCAUUGAAUGGUCUUGCCAUCCUUGUUGAAAAAUCAGUUGAACACGGGUGCAUGGGAUUUAUUUGAGUACUCUCAAUUCUAUUCCAUUGAUCUAUAUGUCUAACUUUAUGCUAAUACCACACUGUCUUGAUUAUAGUUUACUGUUGAGUUUUGUUGAAAGGGCUUUUUAUUUUCUAGAUGCAAGUCCUUUGUCAGUAUGUGCUUUGCAAAUAUUGUUUCUGUGGCCUAUCUUUUCACUCUCUUUAUAGGGUCUUUUGCAGAGCAAAAGCUUUUAAUUUUAGUGAGGCCCUAUCUAUCUAUCUAUCUAUCUAUCUAUCUAUCUAUCUAGGCCUGUGCUUUUGAUGUCAAGCCUCUGCCUGUUUUUGUAAAUAAAAUGUCAUUGUAACACACCAUGCCUACCUCCUUACGUAAUGUCUGUGGCUGCUUUCGUAGCCAUGUUGAAUAGUUGUAACAGAGACCACAUGGCCCACAAAGCCUAAAACAGUUACUAUCUGGCUCUUUACAGAAGAGGUUCUUGACCCGCUGCUCUAAUCUGCUAAACCUUUACACUCCAGGGCCCUUACACACUCGCUCUGUCUGAAACACUCUUUCCUUGGAUCUCCUUCUCACGGCUGGCUCUCCAGUGUUAUUCUGGCUUCUGCUCAAAUUUACCUUAGAGAGGCCUUCCAUGACCAUAUUAUUUAGAAUACGCAACCCUCCCCAUCGUUCCACCAUCUACUCCCUUACUUUAUUUUUCUUCAUAGAAUUUAUCACUUCCUUCACUAGAAUAAGCUCCAUGAGGGCAGUCUCAGGCACCAACAGUGCCUGUCAUAUAAUAUCACUCAAGAAAUACUUGAAUAAAUAAGUGAGUCACAGAGAACUAUGUGGAAACCACCUCUUUCCAGGAAAAAUAACUCUUGAUAUUUAUUAUCCCAUAAACUAUUUUGUCAGAGGAACAAUACUUGAAUGAAAGAACAAUAGGUCUGAUUCCCUUCAUGAACUGUAUAAUGAUGUUUAUGUGUCAUUUUACCUCCAUGGCAUUCCCUAACAUAUCGAGCUAAAGAGUUACCUACGGCUGGAGAGCAAGGAUGUUUGAAAGUCUUUACAUUUGUUUUCUAACUCUGUAUUCCUUCCUGAUCUCCUCUUGAGCCUGAACUGAAAUUCAAUGGGUCGAUAAUAAUGUAGGUUAUCUGUUUCACACUACAAUUGAUUUCUCCUGAUUGCUCUUGAAUUCUGAACUCUUGAUCUGUCUGUAGGGGAACAAUGUAGAACAGAGGAAAGGAAAGAGAGCUUCGGCGUAAAGAUACUGGUCACAGGCCAGCUCUAGCACUAGUUAUGUGACCUUAAAAACAUAUCUCAAGAUCUUAAACCUUGUUUUCAGAUAGUAACAUCUGCCUCACGAAUAAAUGUAUGUAAAUAAUAAUUAAUUCCCAAUUAUUUAACAUCUUCUAUAUGCCAAUGUGAGAUUAUAUAUAUAUCUGUCCCUGGUUCCUGGCAUAGAGCUCUUAAAACCCUUGUAAUUUCCUGAGUCAUAAGAACACUGGGAACAUCUCUCAUUCUAAUAAUUGUCUUUGACCAGGUCCCUGACACAGGGCUCCUGAAACGCUUGUAAAUUCCUAAGUGAUAAGAGCACUAGGAACAUCUUUUGUUCUGAUGAGGUGAGUGUCGAUGGGCUCCUGGAUGGGGGCUGGUCACCAGCAAGACCAAGCUGUGAUUAGAAGCUUGGAAUUAUCAGCCCACCCCUCGUCCUCCAGAACGGGGAGAGGGGCUGGAAAUGGAGUUAAUAAUUGAUCGUGUCUGUGUGAGGAGGCCUCCAUAAAAUCCCAAUAGUAGGAGGUUUGGAAAGUUUCCAGGUUGGGAAACACCUCACACCGGGAGGGUGACGCACCUCAACUCCAUGGGGACGGAAGCUCCUACGCUCAGGACCCUCCCAGACCCUGCCCUAUGUAUUUCUUUAUCUGGUUGUUCAUCUGUAUCCUUUAUCAUAUCUUUUAAUAAACUGGUAGACAUAAGUGUUUCCCUGCGGUCUGUGAUCCAUUUUAGCAAAUUAAUGGAACCCAAGGAGGGGGUCAUUGUAACCUCUGAUCUAUAGCUGGUUGGUCAGAAGCACAGGUGAUAACCUGGGCUUGCAACCAGUGUCUGAAGUAUGUGUGGGUCGGGACAGCAGCAGUCUUGUGGGACUGAGACCUUUACUUGUGGGACCUGGUUAGACAGUGUCAGAAUUGAGUUAAAUUUUAGGACAUCCAGUUGGAGCCACAGAGAAUUGCUUGGUGUGCAGAAAAACUGAGAUUUUUUUCCUUUACAGCCAAAUACUUUGCUAAGUGCUGAGAAUAUAUUAUCUAAUUUGUCACAAUAAUCAGCAAAGAUCGAUGUCAUCCAAAGAGUUAAUUAUAGUGUCUGGCUAAUAGGUAUAAAAUAGGACAAACUUUCACAGCCAUUUGCAUCUGGCUAUGUCAAAAUGGCCUUGUCAAAAGUAAAAUCACUGGUUUUUUGUUUUUCGUCUUUGUUGGGGUACAGUUGAUGGAAAAUCACUGUUUUUAAUGCCAGUAACAACAGCAACAACUAUCUUAAACCUUUGCUUAUCCUUAAUUCCCACUAAAAUUCUGGGGACUGUGUCGUUUAAUUUCUCUAUUAUUGAGAUGUUUCGCAGGCACGUACUUCUUUUUUAAUAAAACCACCACCACGACGGCGAUAUACGAUAUCUUAAUAAUGAUAAGGUUGGCAUAAUUAGGAAGCCCACAAAUAAGAGAGGUAGACUACCCUAUGAUUUUUGAAAUGGAAAAACACAGUAGUAUCCAAUCUUAAGUAGUCAAAUCUAAUUAUUAAAUAAUUAUGCAGCAGGGGGAGCUCGGUGGGAGCUGGGGUGGACAGGAGGCACAGUGGCUUUGCUCACCAUUGGUAAAGCGUUGAACACAUUUUAAAAAAGGAUCACUCCUUGAUUUCUGUGUCUCACACCUUGUCCUCACAGUGUUUCCACCAAUGUCUUUCCAAAAUAGCCUUAACAACUGUCAUGUAGACCUACCAUCUUUAAAAAUGUAUUGACUUUUAAGAUUUUCCAAAAAAUGCUAUGUUUUGGAAAAUGUGCUAAGGAAGAGCAAUUGCCCGCCUUGUUCUUCCCCCAGCUCUGCUUUCCUUAGUUUGACCAAUAAAAAAAUUGGGAAAGAAUCUGGCAGUCUGAUAAGACCGCCAUUCAAGAUCCCAGUGAAUUCCCUGAGAAGGAGCUUAUUUAAAGUCUUUCUGGAUAGAUCACAUGGGCUAAACCCUUGGCUUCAGGCAAUAUGUGAUUUAGUCACCAGAUGAAGCCUACCCUGUCCCUAUCCCAGGCCAAAGGGUCAUAAAUUCUUUAAUAUCUUUUUGUGACUCUUCAUCACAGUGCUUUGCAAGUAAUAUGACUCAGUAACACUUUAGAGUCGGCUCUAUAAGAAGAGUUCUUAUCAUGGUGCAAAUUCAGCUAUGAUUCUUCACACCUAUAUAGUCAUGGCAGUUUUUAAGGUAAUUCCCUCUCGUCCAGUUGUGUAUAAUUUUACCGAGGCCUGUUUGCAAUUACAAUGCUGAACAUGGAUAUUUUAUCAUUUUUAUUAUUCUUGAUGUUAAAGCACAAAAUGCCACACAUGGCAAAUACUAAUUAAUUGUGAAUAAAAAUAAUAUGGGAAUGUACCGAGUCUAUUGGCUGCAAUAGUCUCUCCCACCACCACUUAUGUAGGUCCGCGUUAAUAAGACAACAAAAGUUUAGGGAAACGACAGGUAUUGAGAUUACUAACAUAACUAUGACAAAACAAGCUGAUACCAAUCUGACAUAAAUUCUUAAUACUCACAUCCUGUUUGUUGCUCUCCAUCUCUCUGCUAUACUAAGAAUUGACUCGCCCUCCAAUUCUUCUUUAAGGUACUGCUUCCUGUAAAUUGUAAUUGGCUAGUUAUUUAUUUGCUUUAUCUACUUAAGUUCCUUGAGAGAUGAGGCUGUGUCAGCCCCCCGACCCACAGGCACACCAAUAAGUACUUGUGGAAGUAGGUGAAACCUCAUAUAAUUCUAGUGUCUUAGAUUAACCCAAUUCUGGGGUCCUCAACAAAGCUCUUUCCACUUGUUCAGUAGCCAGUGGGAAGAAUUUUAUCAAGUAAAGGGAGAGAAAACGGAAAGAGCUGAAUAUGGUGCAAAAUGGAACCUCUAUAUUUUGAGUCAUUGCUCUGUCACCAACUAGCACUGUUUCCCCAUCAGCAAAAGGAGCAGGGAUUAGGUGAACUUGCUGUCAUAAAACUCUGUGAUUUAAUGUGGCUUAUUUUGCCGUAUAAAAUUAAUAAAAUAUUUGAAAUAAAACACCUCCUCACAGCUUCACCUAAACAUCAUCAGAGAGCUGCAGUGGAGUCAGAAAUCAGGACUCUGCUUAGCCAGUUAUCAAGUCCGAGUGUUUCCUCCUUGACCAACUCUCCUGACUUGGAUGCAUAGUUGGGGAUCAGCUGAGAUGUAUGGUGAAACACUAGUGUUAUCUCCUGAGUUUAUUAGGAGGAAGGGGAGAAUUAGGACAGACCAUUCCUUUGACUAUUCCACAGCCUCCUUAUUACCCUUUCCUUUUCAUUUCUCUCUGCAGCCCCUGCCCCCCAGUGUCUCUCCUUUCCUCUGUCUGCUAGUUCUUGGCUUCCAGGUCAUCAUCAUUCGGGGAGAAAAUAAAAACCCAAAACCUCUACAACUCUUCUAACUCAAAUAAAUAUACUUUUCUUUAAAAGUAAGGUGCUAUACUUGCAGUGAAUGAAUGAAUGAGCCAUAAUUUUCUAAGGAAAUUCCAAUUUUCAUCUUUCAAAAACCUACAGAGUUAUCAUUUGCAUAGCACUUAAACUCCUGGUAGGUAUCUUUCAAGGCCAGCACAGUUCCCUUUGCCUGGAUGGUUUUUCUACGGCUCUCACUUUCUUCAGGUCUUUGGUCAAAAGGCACUUCCUCAGACCCAUUCCUUCCCCCACCUGCCAUUGAAUAUGCCAGUCCCCUCCCCAUUUCUUACUACAUAUUUUCUUCAUAAGAUUUAUCACUGUCUGGCAUUUUAUUACACAUCCACGCAUUUUCUUGUCUAUCCCUUCCCUAGAGUAUAACUCCAGGAAGGCAGGACCAUUGCCCACGUCGUUCACUGUGAGGUCUCCAGCACCUGGAGCAGGGCUCGGACACGGUAGGUGCUCAGGAAAUAACAAAUAUUCUCUCAAGUACUCUGAGGCUACGUGCUAGUUUCUCCUGAGCCCUAGGACCCGCUUCUCCCUUAGUCCCGCCCAACCGUGAGUCACCACCCACCUCUACCCGAGCCCAGCUCGGAAGCUCGUCCUCCCGCCUGCCAGCCACAGGGACAGCGCUGCGCACCCACCACCGGGACCGGGCAACGGCGGUUGGGCCCGGCGGCUCCGCUCAACCGCCCAUCUCCGGGCUCACCCACGCCUCUCCGCUGGUCCCAGGAGGCCACGCCCGGGGGUGACAGCGAUGCCGCCACUGCGCUUCCGCCCGCCCGGCUGCGCGGCCGUUAGGUCCCCCGCGCAGCUACGAGAUGCCCAGGAUUCUGUUUUGAACGAUCCGUUGAUGUGGGAGGAAAACGUGACUCGUGGGUCCGGCUGCCUCCGUUAAGCAGGACGCAGGCAGCCACCCCUGGCGUGAGCAGGGCUCGCGCUCUUGAGUCCCCACAACCGCUGCCCCAGUCCUACUCUUCACCUUCGCGCCAAACUGACCGGCCGGGCCGCAGCCCACCUCGCUCCCACCCGACGCCCAGGCAUCUUCGAGAAGAGAGCGGGGAACGCUUUACGGGGAAACGACUCAGGGCCCCACCAUCCUUGAUGCCGCCGUUAAGAGGGUGUUAACAUUUCUGCUUUAAGAGAUACCGGUUCCCUCUCAGCGCCUCCGCGCCCCGGGGGUGUUGCCCUCAGACAACUCUGCGGGGUGGGCCGGGGUCGAGGCUGAGAAGGCAGAGGGCAAUUUCUAGUGGUUCUUUUGGACCCGGUGGCUCUUUUCUAAUGAAAAGCCCCAAAUGUCUUUCCUUCCACCUCCUGGAAAGGACUCUUUAAAAUUUGGGGUUAGGAGUAAUAAAGGUCGUCCCACGCUGCCUCGUGGGUGCUGUCCGGGGAGUGGUUGGUGGACAAGAGAGGGACCGGUGCUUUGGAGAUUGUUCUCCCCUUUGUCCCCUACUAACUUGGAAUUAUUUAGGGCCUCAUAGUGAUAGCAUGGCCUUUCAGCAAGGGCUGAGUCAGUAGUGACAAGGUUUUUUUUUAAAAUGUCUGCAUUACACUUCUCAAAAGGGAAUAUUCCCAGUGAGCAAUAAACUCAGGAAAAAGGUGUGCAUCUGAAUUGGUCAUAUCAGGGAACUCCAAAUUAAAACCACAGGAGAUGCUACCAUACACCCACUAGGAUGGUUAAAAUGAAGGAGGAGGAAAAGGAAAGAGAGAGAGAAUGCCAAAUACGGGAGGCCAGAACUUUCAUACGUGGUUAAUGGGGGUACAAGUUGAUAAACUGGCGCACUUUGGAAAAUAUUUAGCAAUAUUUAUUAAAACAGAACAUGUGUAUAUAAUGGAAUGUUACUCAGCCAUAAAAAAGAAUGAAACAAUGCCAUUUGCAGCAACAUGGAUGGACCUGGAGAUUAUCAUAUGAAGUGAGGUAAGUCAGAGAAGGAUAAAUAUUAUAUGAUAUCACUUAUAUGUGGAAUCUUAAAAAAAUGAUAGAAGUGAACUUGUUUACGAAACAGAAAUAGACUCACAGACAUAGGAAACAAACUAUGGUUACCAAAGGGGAAGUGGGGGGGAUAAAUUAGGAGUUUAGGAUUAACAUAUACACACUACUAUAUAUAAAAUAAACAACAAGGACCUACUGUAUAGCACAGGGAACUAUACUCAAUAUCUUGUAAUAACCUAUAAUGGAAAAGAAUCUAAAAAAUAUAUGUAUGCAUACUGAAUCACUUUGCUCUACACCAGAAACACAACAUUCUUCAAUAAGAAACACAACUAUACUUCAGUAAAAAUUAUUUUAAAAAAACCAGACAGAACAUAUGCCUGCCCUAUGACCCAACAAUUCCACCCCUAGAUAUAUACUCAGUAGAAAUGCAUACACACGUUCAUCAAAAAAUAGGUAUUAGAAUGUUCAUCUCAGCAGUAUUCAUAACAAUGCCAGACUGGAAAUAAUCCAAAUGUCCUUUAAGAGAAGAAUGGAUAAUUACAUUGUGUUAUAUUCACACAGUGGAAUAUUAUACAGCAAUGAGAGUGAAUGUGCUAUAGCAACCUGCAAUUAUAUGGAUGAAUCUCACAAAGUUGAGUGGAAGAAACCAGUUAAGAAAAAAAAGGGACUUCCCUGGUGGUGCAGUGGUUAAGAAUCUGCCAGCCAAUGCAGGGGACACAGGUUUGAGCCCUGGUUCGGGAAGAUCCCACAUGCUGCAGAGCAACUAAGCCCUUGCGCCACAACUACUGAGCCUGCGCUCUAUAGCCCGUGUGCCACAACUACUGAGCCUGCGUGCUGCUACUACUGAAGACCACACACCUAGAGCCUGUGCUCUGCAACAAGAGAAACUACCGCAAUGAGAAGCCUGCGCACCAUAACGAAGAGUAGCCCCCGCUUGCCGCAACUAGAGAAAGCCUGCGUGCAGCAACGAAGACCCAACAGAUCCAAAAAUAAAUAAAUAAAAUAAAUUUAUUAA
This is a long non-coding RNA of Orcinus orca (killer whale), 12354 nucleotides long. RefSeq lists it as uncharacterized. The transcript has 3 exons. Lineage: Eukaryota; Metazoa; Chordata; Mammalia; Artiodactyla; Delphinidae. The record is from RefSeq and is a predicted model, not a curated record.